UCCUCCUCUUUGCCCUCUUUGGCAUUGAGUAGGAGGAGCGCGUGCUGCCUCCAAACCUCAUCAGAGGGGAUAACUCCUUGGCUGCCAGCAUAGAGAAUAACGAAGAUAAUGUGUUUGCUCACUAUAAGUCUACUAAACUUGAGAGUCUUUGGUUCAGUUUAGCCGAUGGCCUUUCUGAAUGUGCCUCCAUGGAUGGAGCUUUGCUGAUGGCGCUGUUGGAUACAUGAAUGAAGACCGGAACAUGCAAGUUUGGGGCUACAUGUAAAUUCCAUCAUCCCAGCGAAAAAGCUGGAAUCCAGGGAAUGGUGCAGCUAAGCACGUUGGGAUACUCGCUUUGACCGAAUGUGUGUUGAAGCUCCUCCAGACGGCAUCCUCCUGCAGUAAAUCCUGGUUUUUUGAUGAAUCUGUUGUUUCUUAGAUCAUGGUUAUGGGGUUGAUGCUUUCCAACAUUGCCAGUUCAGCUAUACCAGGAAACUCAGAGGAUAAUCAAGAUCCCUUUUCGAAUAUUACUCAAUCUUAUACUAGAAGAACUUGGUGUUUCAAAGGAUGAAUUCCAUCUUGAGCUAUGCGAAUAUAUCUAAGUUUGUAUGACUGUUCUGUUUAACACCUCUGCGCUACCAGUGGAGUGUUCUCAUCUGUACCUCGAUGUUUGUAAUAAAGUAAAAAGAACUAUGAAACAGCGGGGGAUUCUUCAUGUGUAAAAGCUGUCAAAUAUGUUGACCUGGCGACAAAUACAAUCAUCAUAAGCUUCGUAUGGGCUUUGUCAAUAAGCAUUUGCUACUCCGUUUGUGAUUC
This is a long non-coding RNA of Lolium rigidum, 795 nucleotides long. RefSeq lists it as uncharacterized. NCBI's taxonomy places the organism in Eukaryota, Viridiplantae, Streptophyta, Magnoliopsida, Poales, Poaceae. The record is from RefSeq and is a predicted model, not a curated record. The transcript has 4 exons.